This 426-nucleotide ribosomal RNA is filed under the name uncultured bacterium. RNAcentral's name for it is "partial 16S ribosomal RNA". It matches the Rfam family "Bacterial small subunit ribosomal RNA", at positions 355 to 773 of the family's 1533-position model. The record is from RNAcentral.
UGGGGAAUUUUGGACAAUUGGGCGAAAGCCUGAUCCAGCAAUGCCGCGUGUGUGAAGAAGGCCUUCGGGUUGUAAAGCACUUUUGUCCGGAAAGAAAUCCUUGGCUCUAAUACAGUCGGGGGAUGACGGUACCGGAAGAAUAAGCACCGGCUAACUACGUGCCAGCAGCCGCGGUAAUACGUAGGGUGCAAGCGUUAAUCGGAAUUACUGGGCGUAAAGCGUGCGCAGGCGGUUUGCUAAGACCGAUGUGAAAUCCCCGGGCUAACCUGGGAACUGCAUUGGUGACUGGCAGGCUAGAGUAUGGCAGAGGGGGGUAGAAUUCCACGUGUAGCAGUGAAAUGCGUAGAGAUGUGGAGGAAUACCGAUGGCGAAGGCAGCCCCCUGGGCCAAUACUGACGCUCAUGCACGAAAGCGUGGGGAGCAAAC